Oryza glumipatula is the source of this 203-nucleotide non-coding RNA. Lineage: Eukaryota; Viridiplantae; Streptophyta; Magnoliopsida; Poales; Poaceae. The record is from Rfam.
AAUAAGAGCAGCCAUAAAUUUCCGUGCCAACUUUAAUCGUCUGUCUUAUUUGAAAUUAUUUUUAUGAUUAGUAUUUUUAUUGUUAUUAGAUUAAACAUGAAUAAUACUUUAUACAUGACUUAUGUUUUUUUAGUUUUUCUCAAAAACAAAUAAAUAAAACGGACAAUCAAAGUUGAACGAGAAAACUCAUGAGUGCGCUUAUU